This 497-nucleotide small RNA is filed under the name Circinomucor sp. 3 ERP-2018. Its description in RNAcentral is "partial 28S ribosomal RNA". It matches the Rfam family "Eukaryotic large subunit ribosomal RNA", at positions 257 to 667 of the family's 3401-position model. The record is from RNAcentral. Lineage: Eukaryota; Fungi; Mucoromycota; Mucoromycetes; Mucorales; Mucoraceae.
UCAAAGAGUCAGGUUGUUUGGGAAUGCAGCAUAAAUUGGGUGGUAAAUCUCACCUAAAGCUAAAUAUUUGCGAGAGACCGAUAGCGAACAAGUACCGUGAGGGAAAGAUGAAAAGAACUUUGAAAAGAGAGUUAAACAGUAUGUGAAAUUGUUAAAAGGGAACCGUUUGGAGCCAGACUGGUUUGACUGUAAUCAACCUAGAAUUCGUUUUGGGUGCACUUGCAGUCUAUACCUGCCAACAACAGUUUGAUUUGGAGGACAAAAUUAAUAGGAAUGUAGCCUCUCGAGGUGUUAUAGACUAUUAUCAUACUCUGGAUUGGACUGAGGAACGCAGCGAAUGCCUUUAGGCAAGAUUGCUGGGUGCUUUCGCUAAUAAAUGUUAGAAUUUCUGCUUCGGGUGGUGCUAAUGUUUAAAGGAGGAACUCAUCUAGUAUAUUUUUUAUUCGCUUAGGUUGUUGGCUUAAUGACUCUAAAUGACCCGUCUUGAAACACGGACC